UACAUUGGGUCGCUUGGGAGAAGUUAUGUUUGCCAAAGAAUCUAGGGGGUAUGGGGUUCAGAGACCUUGAGUGUUUCAACCAAGCUCUAUUAGCCAAACAAGUUUGGAAAAUCUUAACCCAUCCACAAUCCUUGCUGGCAAGAUUUUUAAAGAGCAGGUACUUUAAGGGAGGAGAGUUUAUUGCGGCUUCAUUGGGUGAGAAACCCUCCUUUGCGUGGAGGAGUCUUAUGUUUGGUAAGGAGCUACUUCUUAAAGGACUGAGGCAAAGGGUGGGAGAUGGCAAAACCACAAGAGUCUGGAUAGAUAAAUGGAUAGAUGAUCCGGAGGAAGGAUUAAGAGCGCCGUGGAUUAAGAAUGUAGUCUUCAAUGUUAACUUGAUGGCAAGCUCACUGAUUGAUAUAGAGACAAAGAUGUGGAAUGAACGCAAACUAGCAGAGGUCUUUGUGCAAGGAGAUGUUGAGAUGAUUAUGAAGAAUCAACCAGUGGUCAAGAGACAGGAUUUUUUCACAUGGAAGUUCAACAAAAGUGGGGAAAUGACGGUGAAGUCAGCCUACUGGAUUGCAUCAUCGUUAAAAAUUAAGGAUCAGAUCCCAGAAGCCCUGUCGCUCCCCUCCACGAAUGAGCUUAAGGAGAAAGUGUGGAAAGUCAAAACUCUACCAAAGAUAAGAGUAUUCCUCUGGAAAGCUCUGAGCUCAGCGCUUCCGACGGCUGAUCUAAUCUGCGCAAGAGGAAUGAAGAUAGAUCAGAGAUGUCAAACCUGUGGAAGAGAACCAGAAUCGAUCAAUCAUACUCUGUUUGAAUACACCUUCGCUAGACUAGUAUGGGCCGUCUCAACAGUUCCUAAUGGCAGCUUGGAUGAGGGUUCAGUGUUCACAAACAUGAACUUUCUUCUAAAGCUAGAUGAUCUCAAAGGUUUGCCAGAGAAAGAUAGAAGAGCUUGGCCCUGGAUUUUGUGGAAUAUCUGGAAAAAAAGAAAUGAGAUGUUCUUUGAAGGAAGAUGUCUUAAUGCGUUGGAAUUGGUACAGAAAGCAAUCCAGGAGGCUAACGAGUGGUACGCAGCACAACAGGCCGAGGUAGAGUGGGCUAAAGCUGAAUCAAUGUCCUCUACAUCUUCACAGCGAAAAUGGAUUCCACCAGAACCUGAUUGGGUGAUGUGUAAUGUCGGAAUGGAGUAUUCAAAAAGUAAAGAAUGCGCAGGAGGAGCGUGGGUCCUAAGAAAUGAUAGAGGAGUGGUACUUUGUCAUAGUCGAAGAGCAUUCUCUGGAAUUAAAAGUCGAGAUGAGGCUAAGCUAGUGGUUGUUUUAUGGGCGUUUGAGAGUAUGAGAAGCCAAAGACAAUCCAAUGUCAUCUUUGCGGGUGAAUUUGGGGAUUUAUUUGGUGCACUUCAACGACCACAAGCCGGGCCCUCCUUCCAUUAUCAAAGAUCCCUAAUGGAAAAGGAACUGGAGGGAAUAUUCAAUUGGAAAUUGAAGGUGGUGACCAGAGAAGCAAAUAGGGGAGGCUUUUUCAUUGCUCAAAGUGUCAUCAAGUAUGGACUGGUAAAUUCUUAUGUGGCUAGAGGCCAUCCAUCUUGGUUGUUUGAGUUCUUUGUUAAUGAAAGCCGAUCUCUCUGAAUGUUGUCUCGGUGGAAAAAGAAAUCGGAAGGGAUAACCUCGUUGUGGAGUGUAGUAGUGAGUUGAGAAUAGUAGGGUGUGACCCCUAUUUUAUAUUGCUCUGUUUUGUAAUAUUCUCUCCUCUGGUUUGUCGCAUAACAAGGUAACUGAAGUUUUUUGUGCGAGUUGUUAUGUGGGUUAUGGUGUCAGUGCCAUUUAUUAUAUUAAUGAAACACCUUGACAAAAAAAAAGUAUUUUCAUAUACUUUUUUGAAUAUUUAUAUUUUUAUUUAAUAUUGAAUUCUUUUAUAUAUUCCAGUUUUUUUUAAUACUCAGCCAGCCAAUUUUGAAGUCAUAUAUCUUAAAAUAGAUUUCCAAUGGGCAAGUUAGAGCAUCUCCAAUGUAUGUCUCUAUAUUUUCCUCUAAAAUAGAGAUCUCUAUUAUAGAGGUGGUUUUGCUCUAAUGUAUACCUCUAUAAUAGAGUUCCUCUAUUUUAGAGGAAAAUAUAGAGGAAUCCUACUUUUUACCUCUAUAUUUAAAGAUGAAAAUAACAAAUCUCUAUAUUUUCCCCUAUAAAUAGAGGAACUCUAAUUUAUAGAGGCAUACAUUGGAGCAAAUCCACCUCUAUAAUAGAGUUUCUCUAUUUUAGAGGAAAAUAUAGAGAUAAAAAUAGAGGUGGGUUGGAGAUGGUCUUAUUGAUCUUAGUUAUAAGAAAGAGAUAAUACUAACUUUAAGAAGAUAAACUAUUCAGUACAACGUUGUUGUAUAUCGACAUCAAUAAAAGUUAAGAUAUAUACAUAGAUGGUGAAAGUUUACAGCACCAACGCAGGGUUCUCCGCAUCUAAUUGUUGAAAAUAUGUUUGUUCACUCGGUUAAUCAUAAUCCAAUUUAAUCUGAACCUAGAAAAAACGAUUUAACCAAAUAAUAAAAAAAACAAAAAAAAGUAAUAAUGAAAGAGUCAGAAAUCUCGUGUGGAAAAAAACGACGCUCAUCACAUCUAUAAGAUGCUUGCUUUCGUUAUAGUUUGGAUUUCAUCAUUCUCCUAAAAAAAAAUUGUUUCAAAAAAACCCAAGAAAACUGAGUUAUAUAACUAUGAAGCAAUAGAUUAGAACAGAAUCGAUGCGAGGAGAAGAAGACUGCGUUGAUAUAUAGAAGAUAAACGAUUCGCCCUAGUUGUGGUGAUAUUGGGCUUUUAGGGCCCAUUUAGGGAAACUAGGUUACACAUUAGCGCUUAGGGGUUAUAUAUAAAAAGGGUUUUUAUUAUUUUGCUUACUUCACUUUGUCAGCAGCCGCAGGACACAUCGAAGCUUAAGGAGUAGGGGAAGAAUGUCUCACAGGAAGUUUGAGCACCCAAGACACGGAUCACUUGGUUUCCUACCAAGGAAGAGAGCUAACCGUCACAGAGGAAAAGUGAAGGCCUUCCCUAAGGAUGACCAAACCAAGCCUUGCAAGUUCACAGCCUUCAUGGGAUACAAGGCUGGUAUGACCCACAUCGUUAGAGAUGUCGAGAAGCCCGGAUCCAGUAAGU
Molecule: RNA transcript, 3119 nt
Organism: Brassica rapa (field mustard)
Lineage: Eukaryota; Viridiplantae; Streptophyta; Magnoliopsida; Brassicales; Brassicaceae
Gene name: 60S ribosomal protein L3-1
Source: RefSeq, a predicted model, not a curated record